UCUGGGCAUGGUGGCGCAUGCCUGUAAUCCCAGCUAGCUACUUGGGAGGCUGAGGCAGGAGAAUUGCUUGAACCCAGGAGGUGGAGGUUGCAGUGAGCUAAGAUCACGCCACUGCACUCCAGCCUGGGUGACAGAGCGAGACUCUGUCUCUA
This 152-nucleotide non-coding RNA is filed under the name Gorilla gorilla gorilla (western lowland gorilla). Lineage: Eukaryota; Metazoa; Chordata; Mammalia; Primates; Hominidae. The record is from Rfam by way of RNAcentral.